GGUCAGGCGGUCCUAAGUGAUCCGGUAAAUCGGAACAGAGACGGGGUGCCUGACAUUGUCCGUUCGCGGGCUUUGUUCAGUAAUCUGCAAAGUACUGUUGCAUUGCAGCCCCCUGUAGCGAAAGGGAAUCGGGUUAAUAUUCCCGACCCUGUCCACGGAGAUUGGUGUGUGUCGGGCCUUUGGUUCGGCGUGCGCCCAGCGCGGUAACGCAACCGACCUCGGAGACGUCGGCGAGAGUUCUGGGAAGAGUUCUCUUUUCUUUGUUAGGAGUGCAUCCACCCCCUGGAAUCGGCUUGUCCGGAGAUAGGGGGCUAGCCUCCGUAAAGCACCACCCUUCUUGUGGUGUCCGGAACGCUCUUGUCGGCCCUUGAAAAUCCGAGCGAGGCAGUAUAAUUUUCGUGGCAGGCCGUACCCAUAUCCGCAGCAGGUCUCCAAGGUGAACAGCCUCUGGCAAUUGAACAAUGUAGGUAAGGGAAGUCGGCAAAUUGGAUCCGUAACUUCGGGAGAAGGAUUGGCUCUGGGGGCCGAGUCAGACAGGCCGAGAUCAGAUACGUGUCGGUCCAGUUGGGGGCUGGUUUCUUUGCUGCUUUGUGUGCUUCGGUGCGCGUUGUGGUGAGGUUACUGGACUCUGACCCGGGUCGAUCGUGGGCGGUUUCAGCUGUUAGUGUCGUGCAGCUAGCAACGCGCGAGGACAUGUUCCACGUUGCGUCAAGCGGCUGUACUUCCAUGGUCUGGCGCGCGACGGCUAACUCAGAACUGGCACGGACCAGGGGAAUCCGACUGUCUAAUUAAAACAAAGCAUUGCG
RNAcentral lists this non-coding RNA (806 nucleotides) under Trypanosoma cruzi strain CL Brener. Its description in RNAcentral is "Eukaryotic large subunit ribosomal RNA". It matches the Rfam family "Eukaryotic large subunit ribosomal RNA", at positions 1533 to 2163 of the family's 3401-position model. The record is from Rfam by way of RNAcentral. Lineage: Eukaryota; Euglenozoa; Kinetoplastea; Trypanosomatida; Trypanosomatidae.